UCCUUGAAAGAAAAUAAAAUAAUCUCAAAUUCAAAAAAAAAAAAAACUGAAAAAGCUUACGGCCUUUCUGGUGGUAGUACAGUUGAAAGACACUUUCCUCUUCUCUAGCUUCCCAAACCUUUUUUCUGAUCCUCAGUCUUUGGGUUUCUUUUAUCCUUUGAUUUCUCCCCAUCUUUUUGAUGAUUCGCUCUGUUGUUGUUGGUUUUGGACAUUGAUUUAUAGUAAUCAUCAUAUCUAUUGUUCAUCUUCCUCUGUUAGAUAUGGAAGCUAUCAAGAAGCAGGCUACCAAGCUCAGAGAGCAAGUUGCCAAGCAACAGCAAGCAGUACUUAGGCAUCUUGGGCAUUUUAGUAAUGAAGACGUUACUGUUGAUGAAGCUGAUCUUCAAUGUCAUCAAAAGCUUCAAGACCUGUACAGUUCUACAAAGGCAGCUAAGCAUUUGCAGCGGAACAUCGUCCGUGGCAUAGAAGGUUUUAUUGCAACAAGCUCAAAGCUGAUAGAAAUAUCUAGGAAGUUGGCUGAUGAUUGUUGCAAGUUUGGAGUUGAAGAUCAAAAUACUGGUUCCUCUCUUGCAAAAGCCGCCCUUCACUUUGGCAAUUCACAUAAAUCAAUAGAAGAUGAAAGGGAGACCUUGCUUGGGAUCCUUGGUGAGCGGGUUUCUGAGCCACUACGGGCAUUAAUUACAGGAGCUCCUCUAGAAGAUGCUCGGCACUUGACCCACCGAUAUGACAGAUUCCGGCAAGAGGUUGAAGCUCAGGCAGCAGAUGUUUUGAGGCGUAGAUCAAAAACCAGGGAAGCUGAUAUUUCUGCAGAAAGCUACAUGAAGCUUAAACAAGCAGAAGCAAGAUUGGCUGACCUUAAAUCCUCAAUGAUGGUUCUAGGAAGAGAAGCAACUGCUGCCAUGUUGUCAGCUGAGGAUCAGCAGCAAAAGAUUACUUUCCAGCUGCUUCUUGCAAUGGUUGACGCCGAAAAAUCUUAUCAUCAACAUGUUCUUGCUAGUUUAGAGAAGCUACAUGCUGAGAUGAUUCUAGAGGGGCAGAUGAACGAGUCAUUGAACUCAGUGACGUUGCAGAGAGAGGUGAAUGUCACCUCUGCACAUGAUAACUUUAGUUCGAAUAAAUCUGAAGCUCAGGGAAGCAAUCAAAGCGAUGUAUUUUUCAUAGCAAAGGUUGUACACCCAUUUGAUGCUGAAGCAGAUGGGGAAUUAAGCUUAGCAGUUGGUGAUUAUGUUGUGGUUCGCCAGGUGGGUCCUAGUGGAUGGUCGGAGGGAGAGUGCAAGGGCAAGGCUGGAUGGUUUCCCUCUGCUUAUGUAGAAAGACAAGAGAAAGCACCAGCAAGCAAGUUAAUUGAGCCGAACUCCGCAGCCUCAGCCUGAUCUGCUAUCAAAAGGUAACCGCUCUGAGGGAGUUGAACAGCAUAGUGGUAAACAAAAAAGUUGAACACGCCCCUCGUAAUAAUCUCAAAACAAAUACAAAAUCUGAACCCAGAGGUUCCAUGAUGACAUUGUGCCCUCAAAUCCUGGCUCAUUCCCAUUUCGCACCAAGUCAAAAAGUUUAUGAAGAUUGAAAAGACCCAUAGAACAUAGUUUGCCAGAAAUGUGUUCACUGAAGAAGCUCUGCUGUAUGCUGUGUUUUAAGUUGGUUCAGCAACCAUUUACUCAAUAAAUCUCUACUGCUGAUAAACUAAAUUGGGUGCACUAAAAAUGCCGAAGUUAUUUCAAGAGUUACCAGAUUUCUCUGUAUUUUCAUUUCAAGAAAAUUGCUAAUGGCAGAUUGGCAGGCACAGAUGCAGUAUGGUAGAGGAUUUUGAGAAGCAGAAACCUACAGUUUUUGUUGGAACAUUUUGAAAACAUUCUUUUAUAAGUAAAAGAAUAUGUUCCAUAAAUGAAAUGUUAUGUCUUCAAUAAGAAUUAUCAAGAGUUGCAUCUUUUGAUUA
This is an RNA transcript of Gossypium raimondii (Peruvian cotton), 1933 nucleotides long. It is a transcript of the gene named SH3 domain-containing protein 1, with no coding region annotated. The record is from RefSeq and is a predicted model, not a curated record. The transcript has 11 exons. Lineage: Eukaryota; Viridiplantae; Streptophyta; Magnoliopsida; Malvales; Malvaceae.